Molecule: long non-coding RNA, 1074 nt
Organism: Raphanus sativus (radish)
Lineage: Eukaryota; Viridiplantae; Streptophyta; Magnoliopsida; Brassicales; Brassicaceae
Exons: 5
Source: RefSeq, a predicted model, not a curated record
UUUUUUCGGAAAAAAAAACCCAGAAAAGCAGGCAAACAACCUUUCUCCUUCUAUCGACUUCUCAUUCUCCGGUAUUUUUUUCCCCUUCGCCGAACCGUCUUGCAUGUUGUUUGAUCCAUGAAACUUGACAAAAAUAUAUCCAUGGAAGAAGAUAUAAGAAAUCAGUUCGAUCUUUAGUUCUGCACUCUCUUUUAUGAUCAAGUAGGAAUGCGGCUUAGUUAACAGAGAUCUAGGUUCGAUUGCAUGUAAUGAAUCAGUCGAAGUUCGAUUUGAUAUACUUAUCGAGAUUGAUUUAGCAGAAAGAAGAAUCAGAAAAACAAACAUAUUUACAGCAUGAGUAGACAGAACACUCUCUCUAUCUCUUACUUAAUGAGUGCAUGCACUCUAUCAAUAAUGGUGGAGUACAUAUAUAUCAAGUUUUGCUAUUUAAGAAGUGAAAACAAUAUGGGGUGGCUUAAUCUAGAGAGAUAUGCUCGUGAAUAAGGAGAGCUGGUCUUAGUCAUAUUUUCAAGUGCUCGUCAGGAAGUACCACUACUCCUAGCAUUGUGAGUUGUAUUGCUCUGUUAGAAAUACCUCUCUUCUUCAUAAAUACAUUUCUCUUAUGUAAUGGAAAUAAUGAGACUAUUUUCUUUGAUCUGCAUGAUUAAUUGACCUUUUUGGAGAACCAAAAGACGUCAGCUGAACCAAAUUUAGACAAUGCACUUGCCAUUAAACAUGAGUAAAACACGGUUAGUAAUUUCCUUAGAAGAUUUUGAACUCAUAUGUUAAUGAAUUAUCCUAUGAUUUUCUGAUGAGAUGAAAGAAAAGAAGUAACAUGAGGAUUAGUAAUAGAUUAUGCUAUUUUCUUCACCAUACUGCUUAGCUCUUUACAUGAUUCAGUGAUGCAUAUAUGUUUUAUGUUAAUGAUUGUGUAAUCAAACAUUGGAAAUAUUGAAAGAAAUAGAAUCGUUUAGAAAUAGGAAAAGAAACAUCAUGUCUUUUGAAACACAAAAACAAUUCAUACUUGAAUGAAAUAAGUGUUUCAAUUGCAUACUUGAAUUAAAUAAGUAUUUCACUGCUAAAUUAAAUUAAAAA